GUGCUCACUUUGGCAGCACAUAUAAUAAUACUAGAAUGAUAGAGAGAAGACUAGCAUGGUUCCUGCACAAGGAUGACACACAAAUUCAUGAAGCAUUCCAUAUUUUU
This is a small nuclear RNA of Nomascus leucogenys (northern white-cheeked gibbon), 107 nucleotides long. Lineage: Eukaryota; Metazoa; Chordata; Mammalia; Primates; Hylobatidae. The record is from Ensembl.